RNAcentral lists this small nuclear RNA (119 nucleotides) under Nicotiana attenuata. RNAcentral describes it as "snRNA U5". It matches the Rfam family "U5 spliceosomal RNA". From Rfam's summary of the family: U5 RNA is a component of both types of known spliceosome. The precise function of this molecule is unknown, though it is known that the 5' loop is required for splice site selection and p220 binding, and that both the 3' stem-loop and the Sm site are important for Sm protein binding and cap methylation. Lineage: Eukaryota; Viridiplantae; Streptophyta; Magnoliopsida; Solanales; Solanaceae. The record is from Rfam by way of RNAcentral.
AGCCAUGCAUUGAGCACAGAGCGAACUAUUCCUUCGCCUUUUACUAAAGAAUACCGUGUGCGCAUUGCAUCUAGUGGCAUACGCCAAUUUUUGGAGGGAUUGCUCUCUUUUUGAGUGCC